AAUGGGCGAAAGCCUGACGCAGCGACGCCGCGUGGGUGAUGAAGGCCUUCGGGUUGUAAAGCCCUGUGGGGAGGGAAGAAUAAGGGGUGACGAAUAGGCACUCUGAUGACGGUACCUCCUUAGCAAGCACCGGCUAACUCUGUGCCAGCAGCCGCGGUAAGACAGAGGGUGCAAACGUUGUUCGGAAUUACUGGGCGUAAAGCGCGUGUAGGCGGCAGCGUAUGUCGGGUGUGAAAGCCCUUGGCUCAACCGAGGAAGUGCACUCGAAACUGCGCAGCUUGAGUUCCGGAGAGGAUGGUGGAAUUCUCGGUGUAGAGGUGAAAUUCGUAGAUAUCGAGAGGAACACCUGUGGCGAAGGCGGCCAUCUGGACGGAAACUGACGCUGAGACGCGAAAGCGUGGGGAGCAAA
Molecule: ribosomal RNA, 409 nt
Filed under: uncultured bacterium
Lineage: Bacteria
Description: bacterial SSU rRNA
Rfam family: Bacterial small subunit ribosomal RNA
Source: RNAcentral